AGCCAUGCACGCCCCAGUUCAGACUGUAUUAUGGUGAAACCGCGAAUGGCUCAUUAAAUCAGCUAUGAUUCCUUGGAUCAUAAUACUACAUGGAUAACUGUAGUAAUUCUAGAGCUAAUACAUGCCUCGAUGCCCUGAACCGUAAGGUGAGGGGUGCAUUUAUUAGAUCGCAAACCAAACGGGCUUGCCCGUGGCUUGUGAUGACUCUGGAUAACUUUGUAUGAUCGCAGUCGGCCCUGUUGUCGGCGACGGAUUCAUUAAAUGUCUGCCCUAUCAACUUUAGAUGGUAGGUGAUAUGCCUACCAUGGUGAUGACGGGUAACGGGGAAUCAGGGUUCGAUUCCGGAGAGGGAGCCUGAGAAACGGCUACCACAUCCAAGGAAGGCAGCAGGCGCGCAAAUUACCCACUCUCUGAACGAGGAGGUAGUGAAGAUAAAUAUCGAUACAGGACUCUACGAGGCUCUGUAAUCGAAAUGAGUGCAUUUUAAAUCCUACAACGAGGAUCUACUGGAGGGCAAGUCUGGUGCCAGCAGCCGCGGUAAUUCCAGCUCCAGAAGCGUAUAUUAAAGUUGCUGCAGUUAAAAAGCUCGUAGUUGGAUCUGGACUAUGAUGUGAUUGCCAUGUCCGGGGUUGGGCUGCUUUAAACGGCGGUCUAGCUCAGGCUGGUUGUUUCGCAUCUAGUCUCAUAGCUGUGUCUGUGUGGCCUUCACCGGUCGCAUGGAUGAUGUUGGGUGCCUGAUACUUACCCUCUUUUGGGGGUUUGUUCGGCCCAGUGUUAUGUUCUGUGUAUGCCCUUAAUCGGGUGUCCAGGACGGACAGCAUGUUUACUUUGAACAAAUUUGAGUGCUCAAAGCAGGCCGAUUGUUGCCUGAAAAGUCUUGCAUGGNAUAAUGGAAUAGGACUUCGGCCCUAUUUUGUUGGUUUGAUAGACCCGAAGUAAUGAUAAAGAGAGACAGACGGGGGCAUUUGUAUGGCGGCGCGAGAGGUGAAAUUCGUGGACCGUCGCCAGACAACCUAAAGCGAAAGCAUCUGCCAAGUAUGUUUUCAUUUACCAGGAGCGAAAGUCAGAGGUUCGAAGACGAUCAGAUACCGUCCUAGUUCUGACCAUAAACGAUGCCAACUGACGAUCCGUGUGUACUCUAUCAUCAUGAGUCCACGGGCAGUCUCCGGGAAACCUGUAAGUCUAUGGGUUCCGGGGAAAGUAUGGUUGCAAAGCUGAAACUUAAAGGAAUUGACGGAAGGGCACCACCAGGAGUGGAGCUUGCGGCUUAAUUUGACUCAACACGGGAAAACUCACCCGACCCGGACACUGUGAGGAUUGACAGAUUAAAAGCUCUUUCUUGAUUCGGUGGCUAGUGGUGCAUGGCCGUUCUUAGUUCGUGGUAUGAGUUGUCUGGUUAAUUCCGAUAACGAACGAGACUCUAACCUGCUAAAUAGUAAACUUGCAACAUUAUGGAGACCUUCACGGGUGGGCCUCGUGCCUGUCCGUGGAGCUUCGUAAGCAAGUGAGACUUCUUAGAGGGACUGGUGUCCUACAAGGCGCACGAGAAAGAGCAAUAACAGGUCUGUGAUGCCCUAAGAUGUCCGGGGCCGCACGCGUGCUACAAUGACGAUGCUAAUGAGUUUGAUAUUCUGGCUCGGAAGAGUCGGGCAAACUUGUGAAUCAUCGUCGUGACUGGGAUUGGGGUUUGUAAUUAUCCCCCAUGAACCAGGAAUUCCUAGUAAGUACAAGUCAUAAGCUUGUGCUGAUUACGUCCCUGCCCUUUGUACACACCGCCCGUCGCUACUACCGAUUGAACGGUUUAGCAAGGUCAUUGGAUUGGCCCCCAUGUGACUCACGUCGCUGGGAGCUGAGAAGAUGACCGAACUUGAUCGUUUAGAGGAAGUACAAGUCGUAACAAGGUUUCCGUAGGUGAACCUGCGGAAGGAUCACU
RNAcentral lists this ribosomal RNA (1933 nucleotides) under Pseudorhabdosynochus sp. 3 BTD-2009. RNAcentral's name for it is "SSU rRNA". It matches the Rfam family "Eukaryotic small subunit ribosomal RNA". Lineage: Eukaryota; Metazoa; Platyhelminthes; Monogenea; Dactylogyridea; Diplectanidae. The record is from RNAcentral.